UUCGGUCAAGCUACUAAGGGCAUACGGUGGAUGCCUUGGCGCCAGCAGGCGAAGAAGGACGUGGCCAGCUGCGAUAAGCCUCGGGGAGCCGCUAGCAGGCUUUGAUCCGGGGAUUUCCGAAUGGGGCAACCCUCUGGGACUAAUCUCCCAGAAUCCUCCGCUGAAUCCAUAGGCGGGGAGAAGCCAACCCGGGGAAGUGAAACAUCUCAGUACCCGGAGGAAGAGAAAUCAACAGAGAUUCCGCUAGUAGUGGCGAGCGAACGCGGAUUAGCCCAAACCGGAUGCGUGGCGACACGCGCCGGGGUUGCGGGAUGCUGCCGGGGCUUGUCCCGGGAAGUUACAAAAGCGGCGUAUAGCUGAAGAGCUCUGGAAAGGCUCACCAUAGAAGGUGAUAGUCCUGUAAGCGAAAUGCGCCGCUCUUCCUGGGCAGCACUCCCAAGUACGACGGGACACGUGGAACCCUGUCGGAAUCCGGGGGGACCACCCUCCAAGGCUAAAUACUCGCUGGCGACCGAUAGUGCACCAGUACCGUGAGGGAAAGGUGAAAAGCACCCCUGUUAGGGGAGUGAAAUAGAACCUGAAACCGUGUGCCUACAAGCGGUGGGAGCACGAUGUCCGGGGGGCGACUCCCGGGCCGUGUGACCGCGUGCCUUUUGCAUAAUGAGCCUAGGAGUUACUUUCAGCGGCAAGGUUAAGCCGUGAGGCGGAGCCGUAGCGAAAGCGAGUCUGAAUAGGGCGCUGAGUCGCUGGGAGUAGACCCGAAGCCAGGUGAGCUAGCCAUGGCCAGGGUAAAGCUGGUGUAACAGCCAGUGGAGGCCCGAACCAGUGUAGGUUGAAAACUGCUUGGAUGAGCUGUGGCUAGGGGCGAAAGACCAAACAAACCUGGAGAUAGCUGGUUCUCCCCGAAAUGCAUUGAGGUGCAGCCUCGCACGUAUGCUCCCGGUCGUAGAGCACUGGAUGGACUAGGGGCCCUACCAGGUUACCAAACCCAACCAAACUCCGAAGGCCGGGAUGUCUUAUGCGGGAGUGAGUCUACGGGUGAUAAGAUCCGUGGGCGAGAGGGAAACAGCCCAGACCGCCAGCUAAGGCCCUCAAGUGCGCGCUAAGUGGAAAAGGUUGUGGGGACGUCAAGACAACCAGGAGGUUGGCUUAGAGGCAGCCAUCCUUUAAAGAAAGCGUAACAGCUCACUGGUCGAAUGGCCCCGCGCCGAAAAUGAAUCGGGGCUCAAGCGCGCCGCCGAAGCUGCGGAUUGGCCGCACGUUCGCGUGCGGCCAGUGGUAGGGGAGCUUUCUGCAGUAGGUUGAAGCCGGACGGACAACGACCGGUGGACGAGGCAGAAGUGAGCAUCUAGGCACGAGUAGCGAUAAAACGGGUGAAAAACCCGUUCGCCGUAAACCCAAGGGUUCCUGAGCAAGGCUAAUCCGCUCAGGGUCAGUCGGCCCCUAAGGCGAGGCCGAAAGGCGUAGCUGAUGGGAAACAGGUUAACAUUCCUGUACCUGCGCGAGACUGCCAAUGGGGUGACGCAGAAGGGUAGGUCAGCCGCCUGAUGGAUGGCGGUUCAAGCAUGUAGGCGGGAGGCUUAGGCAAAUCCGGGCCUCCAUCCCAAACGCCGAGGUGUGAUGACGAGGAGCCUCGCUCCACAAAGUGAUCAAGCCCAUGCUGCCUGGAAAAACCUCUAGGCUAUAGGUUCGAGCAGACCGUACCGUAAACGGACACACGUGGGUGGGUAGAAUAUACUCAGGCGCUUGAGAGAACACUCGCUAAGGAACUCGGCACAUUCACACCGUAACUUCGGGAGAAGGUGUGCCCCAAGUAGGUGAGGCGGUUCGCCCGCGGAGCUGAACGGGGUUGCAGAGAAAUGCCCCAGGCGACUGUUUACUAAAAACACAGGGCUCUGCCAAGCCGCAAGGCGACGUAUAGGGCCUGACGCCUGCCCGGUGCCGGAAGGUUAAGAGGAGGGGUCAGCGCAAGCGAAGCUCUGAAUCGAAGCCCCGGUAAACGGCGGCCGUAACUAUAACGGUCCUAAGGUAGCGAAAUUCCUUGUCGGGUAAGUUCCGACCUGCACGAAUGGCGUAACGAUCUGGGGACUGUCUCAGCGAGUGACUCAGUGAAACUGUAGCAGCGGUGAAGAUGCCGCUUACCCGCGACUAGACGGAAAGACCCCGUGCACCUUUACUAUACCCUGGCAAUGACACCCGGGAUAUCAUGUGUAGGAUAGGUGGGAGGCUUUGAAGCGCAGCCGCUAGGUUGCGUGGAGCCAACCUUGAAAUACCACCCUUGGUGUUCUGUGUGUCUAACCUAGGCCCGUGAUCCGGGUCGGAGACAUUGUCAGGCGGGUAGUUUGACUGGGGCGGUCGCCUCCCAAAAUGUAACGGAGGCGCCCAAAGGUGCCCUCAGGCUGAAUGGAAACCAGCCGACGAGUGCAAAGGCAAAAGGGCGCUUGACUGCAAGACAAACAAGUCGAGCAGGUGCGAAAGCAGGGCUUAGUGAUCCGGUGGUUCUGUGUGGAAGGGCCAUCGCUCAACGGAUAAAAGGUACGCCGGGGAUAACAGGCUGAUCUCCCCCAAGAGUUCACAUCGACGGGGAGGUUUGGCACCUCGAUGUCGGCUCAUCGCAUCCUGGGGCUGGAGCAGGUCCCAAGGGUUUGGCUGUUCGCCAAUUAAAGCGGUACGCGAGCUGGGUUUAGAACGUCGUGAGACAGUUCGGUCCCUAUCUGUCGUGGGCGCAGGAGAUUUGCGAGGCGCUGACCCUAGUACGAGAGGACCGGGUCGGACGAACCUCUAGUGUUCGAGUUGUGGCGCCAGCCGCAGUGCUCGGUAGCUAUGUUCGGAAGGGAUAACCGCUGAACGCAUAUAAGUGGGAAGCCCCCCUCAAGACGAGAUCUCCCUGGACUUCGGUCCCUAAAGGCCCCUUCUAGACCAGGAGGUUGAUAGGCCGGAGGUGUAAGCGCAGCAAUGCGUUUAGCUGACCGGUACUAAUAGGCCGUGAGGCUUGACCGAUAA
This 3003-nucleotide ribosomal RNA is filed under the name Candidatus Tectomicrobia bacterium RIFCSPLOWO2_12_FULL_69_37. RNAcentral's name for it is "bacterial LSU rRNA". It matches the Rfam family "Bacterial large subunit ribosomal RNA". Lineage: Bacteria; Pseudomonadati; Candidatus Tectimicrobiota. The record is from RNAcentral.